Non-coding RNA from Phascolarctos cinereus (koala), 412 nucleotides. Lineage: Eukaryota; Metazoa; Chordata; Mammalia; Diprotodontia; Phascolarctidae. The record is from RefSeq and is a predicted model, not a curated record.
UGUGGGGAGUGGGCUCAGAGCUGGGUUCCUGGGGGAUCUGGGGAAGGGACUCUUUCUGACAUCACAAGGGAUGCUGGAGCUAAAAGCUAAGGCAGAAAUCUAAAGAAUCCAACCUUGUCACUUCACAGCAGAGGACGCUGAAGUCCACAGGAGUGAAGUGACUUGAGGAAGGUCACCCAGCUGUCACACAGUGGCCAAGCUGUUCCUUUAGAAGCCUGUGAUCUUUGAGAAAAUCUCCAUGCUUUCGGAGGGUGACUUUGACAGCUUGGUAGAGGAUGGAUUGGAGAGGGGAUAGUAGAAGCCAGAAGACCAAUUUCAGAGGCUGCUGUGAUUGUCUGGGACGCAGAGCUUGACGCAGCACACAAUGCUUUUUCGUUCUCUCAUCUGUGAAGAGAUGAUAAUUGAACCAGCG